UACGGGGGAUGCAAGCGUUAUCCGGAUUUAUUGGGUUUAAAGGGUGCGUAGGCUGUGAGGUAAGUCAGCGGUGAAAUGCCCCCGCUCAACGGGGUGAAGUGCCAUUGAUACUGCCUUGCUGGAAUGCGGAUGCCGUGGGAGGAAUGUGUGGUGUAGCGGUGAAAUGCAUAGAUAUCACACAGAACACCGAUUGCGAAGGCAUCUCACGAAUCCGCGAUUGACGCUGUUGCACGAAAGCGUGGGUAUCAAACAGG
RNAcentral lists this ribosomal RNA (254 nucleotides) under uncultured bacterium. RNAcentral describes it as "partial 16S ribosomal RNA". It matches the Rfam family "Bacterial small subunit ribosomal RNA", at positions 524 to 776 of the family's 1533-position model. The record is from RNAcentral.